RNAcentral lists this small RNA (126 nucleotides) under Marmota monax (woodchuck). The record is from RNAcentral. Lineage: Eukaryota; Metazoa; Chordata; Mammalia; Rodentia; Sciuridae.
GCUGGGUGCGGUGGUGCACACCUGUAACCCCAGCGGCUAGGGAGGCCGAGGCAGGAGGAUUUCGAGUUCAUAUGCCAGCCUCAGUAAAAGCGAGGCAUUAAGCAAUUCAGUGAGACCCUGUCUCUA